Molecule: long non-coding RNA, 956 nt
Organism: Cydia splendana
Lineage: Eukaryota; Metazoa; Arthropoda; Insecta; Lepidoptera; Tortricidae
Exons: 8
Source: RefSeq, a predicted model, not a curated record
AGUUAAAUAAUCUGCUCCUUGAGGGAAUUAUAAAUGAGGCACUGAAGGCAAUGGGCGAUUUGCAAGGGAAGUUGAUGAAAAUAUUGGAUAAAGAAAAUGCUCCUAUGACAGCAAUAAUGCUGGUUUGUAACUACUGAUUAAAAAUUUAUUCAAUCUUCUAUUUUUAUAUGUGUCGUUAGUCUGAAAAAUCUUCUUCAUCAUAUUAAUGUAUUCUAAAAAGAACUGCUGUAGAUGGCUGGCAGUAGGUACAGGGUCAGGUCGAAGGGAAAAGUUCCAGAGGACGAUCUCCUACGCGAUGGUCCGACCCCUUAAAAAUAGCGACGAAGUCAUCCGUAGUCGAGUGCACUCGCAACGUUAUCGAUCAAUGUCAGAAAUGGAGAGACACCGCAAGGGAAAGUUUGAAGUCCAACAACAAAACAGGAAAUGAAGACCAGCCAUGUGCGUCGUCAAAACGACCGACAAGAGUAAACGACUUCUGAAGAAGAAAAUCAAAAACGAAUUUUGAGAAUUAAAGAUAAAAUAUUCAAACGUAUUAAAUUUAUAAGUAGCAAUGUAUCUACUUACACAACAUUUCAAAGGUAAGUACUACUUACAACUUUUACGUAAGAACAUGUAUAAAAUAGAUUCUAAUUCAUUUAUUUUUGUUAUCAUUAGGUCUCGCAACUUGUACCACAGGAAUUAAGUGACGCAAUCAAGGCGGAAGUCAGAAAAAAAGUUGUUGAUGGUGACAAGACAACAUUAAACGAAGAUACUGGUUUAAGAGCAAAUACAAAGAGGAAAGGUUAUGGAAAUAGAAAGAGGUCCAAAAAGGUGCUGUGCAUCCACGCCCCCGACAAUCUACAGUACUGCGUUAGUCAGUUAAAGGAACCAUGAGUAUUGAGUAAUGCCUGAUGACAUCAUCUGCAUUUGGUCAUGCAUCUAAUUUUUAAACAACUUAAUAAAAUUGUGUGUGUCCA